This 405-nucleotide unclassified non-coding RNA is filed under the name soil metagenome. Its description in RNAcentral is "partial contains 5.8S ribosomal RNA, internal transcribed spacer 2, and large subunit ribosomal RNA". The stretch from base 1 to 121 matches the Rfam family "5.8S ribosomal RNA", at positions 35 to 154 of the family's 154-position model. The record is from RNAcentral.
GAUGAAGAACAUAGCGAAAUGCGAUAAGUAAUGUGAAUUGCAGAAUUCAGUGAAUCAUCGAAUCUUUGAACGCACCUUGCGCCCUUUGGCUAUUCCAGAGGGCAUGCCUGUUUGAGUAUCAUGAACACCUCAACUCUCAUGGUUCUGCCAUGAUGAGCUUGGACUUUGGAGGUCUUGCUGGCCCCUGUGGUCAGCUCCUCUCAAAUGGAUCAGCUUGCCAGUGUUUGGUGGCAUCACAGGUGUGAUAACUAUCUACGCUUGUGGUUUUCCACCAGGUAACCUUCAGUGAUGGAGGUUCGCUGGAGCUCAUAAACGUCUCUCCUCAGCGAGGACAGCUUCUUGAACGUUUGAUCUCAAAUCAGGUAGGGCUACCCGCUGAACUUAAGCAUAUCAAUAAGCGGAGGA